RNAcentral lists this ribosomal RNA (443 nucleotides) under uncultured bacterium. RNAcentral's name for it is "partial 16S ribosomal RNA". It matches the Rfam family "Bacterial small subunit ribosomal RNA", at positions 338 to 795 of the family's 1533-position model. The record is from RNAcentral.
CCUACGGGAGACAGCAGUGGGGAAUAUUGGGCAAUGGGCGCAAGCCUGACCCAGCAACGCCGCGUGCAGGAAGAAGGCUUUCGGGUUGUAAACUUCUUUUAUUAGGGACGAAGCAAGUGACUGUACCUGAUGAAUAAGCCACGGCUAACUACGUGCCAGCAGCCGCGGUAAUACGUAGGUGGCAAGCGUUAUCCGGAUUUGCUGGGUGUAAAGGGCGUGUAGGCGGGAGUGCAAGUCAGAUGUGAAAUCUAUGGGCUCAACCCAUAGCCUGCAUUUGAAACUGGACUUCUUGAGUGCUGGGGAGGCAAUCGGAAUUCCGGGUGUAGCGGUGAAAUGCGUAGAUAUACGGAGGAACACCAGUGGCGAAGGCGGAUUACGGGACAGUAACUGACGCUGAGGCGCGAAGGCGUGGGGAGCGAACAGGAUUAGAUACCCUUGUAGUC